RNAcentral lists this transfer RNA (81 nucleotides) under Ophiostoma novo-ulmi subsp. novo-ulmi H327. Its description in RNAcentral is "tRNA-Ser (TGA) (tRNA-Ser-TGA-1-1)". It matches the Rfam family "tRNA". Rfam says of the family: Transfer RNA (tRNA) molecules are approximately 80 nucleotides in length. Their secondary structure includes four short double-helical elements and three loops (D, anti-codon, and T loops). The record is from RNAcentral. Lineage: Eukaryota; Fungi; Ascomycota; Sordariomycetes; Ophiostomatales; Ophiostomataceae. RNAcentral also lists the same sequence under 1 other name.
GGCAAAGUGCCAGAGUGGUUAAUGGGUGAGACUUGAAAUCUCAUGGCUUCGGCCGCGCAUGUUCGAACCAUGCCUUUGUCG